RNAcentral lists this ribosomal RNA (464 nucleotides) under uncultured bacterium. RNAcentral describes it as "partial 16S ribosomal RNA". It matches the Rfam family "Bacterial small subunit ribosomal RNA", at positions 338 to 795 of the family's 1533-position model. The record is from RNAcentral.
CCUACGGGAGGCAGCAGUAGGGAAUUUUCGUCAAUGGGCGCAAGCCUGAACGAGCAAUGCCGCGUGAACGAGGAAGGUCUUCGGAUCGUAAAGUUCUGUUGAAGGGGAAAAAGAGCGGAGAGAGGAAAUGGUCUCCGAUUGAUAUUACCCUUCGAGGAAGUCACGGCUAACUACGUGCCAGCAGCCGCGGUAAUACGUAGGUGGCGAGCGUUAUCCGGAAUGAUUGGGCGUAAAGGGUGCGUAGGCGGCAUGCUAAGUCUGGAGUAAAAGGGACCGGCUCAACCGGGACAGGCACUGGAUACUGGCGGGCUAGAGAGCAGGAGAGGGAGGUGGAACUCGAUGUGUAGCGGUAAAAUGCGUAGAUAUAUGGAAGAACACCAGUGGCGAAGGCGGCCGCCUGGCCUGUUACUGACGCUGAGGCACGAAAGCGUGGGGAGCAAAUAGGAUUAGAUACCCUGGUAGUC